AACUUUAUGCAGUACCAUAGCCAAUGAGGUUUAUCCUCAGCAAGAUUAUUGCUGAUUGGAAACUCUUCCCAGUAUCCCACCAUGACUAUUUGAAAUAUAGUCAGCAUUGGCAAUUUUUGAGAGUCUCGAUGGAAUAAAUGAAGAAGUAAAGACAGAGA
Molecule: small nuclear RNA, 158 nt
Filed under: Sciurus vulgaris (Eurasian red squirrel)
Lineage: Eukaryota; Metazoa; Chordata; Mammalia; Rodentia; Sciuridae
Description: U4 spliceosomal RNA (ENSSVLG00005004438.1)
Rfam family: U4 spliceosomal RNA (bases 1-135)
About the family: U4 small nuclear RNA (U4 snRNA) is a component of the major U2-dependent spliceosome.
Source: RNAcentral